This 455-nucleotide ribosomal RNA is filed under the name uncultured bacterium. Its description in RNAcentral is "bacterial SSU rRNA". It matches the Rfam family "Bacterial small subunit ribosomal RNA", at positions 28 to 363 of the family's 1533-position model. The record is from RNAcentral.
GAUGAACGCUGGCGGCGUGCUUAACACAUGCAAGUCGAGCGGGCAAUUUAUCUAGCACUGAUUACUUCAAAUGGCUAUCGCCAGUGUAAUCAUGAAUUUCUACCUUAUAAUAAAGAAAAAAGAAAUUCAUGUACGCAAAUAGUGAUAACACAUGAAAGAGGAGUGAUGAGUGCUGGAUAAAUUGCUAGCGGCGGACGGGUGCGUAACACGUGGGUAACCUGCCCCUAUCACUGGGAUAACACACUGAAAAGUGUGCUAAUACCAGAUAAUAUAAGCUUUUGGUCAUCAUUAGCUUAUCAAAGAAUUUCGGAUAGGGAUGGGCCCGCGUCUGAUUAGCUAGUUGGUGAGGUAACGGCUCACCAAGGCAACGAUCAGUAGCCGACCUGAGAGGGUGAUCGGCCACACUGGAACUGAGACACGGUCCAGACUCCUACGGGAGGCAGCAGUGGGGAAUA